RNAcentral lists this ribosomal RNA (253 nucleotides) under uncultured bacterium. Its description in RNAcentral is "partial 16S ribosomal RNA". It matches the Rfam family "Bacterial small subunit ribosomal RNA", at positions 524 to 776 of the family's 1533-position model. The record is from RNAcentral.
GACGAAGGAUGCAAGCGUUAUCCGGAUUCAUUGGGUUUAAAGGGAGCGUAGGCGGAUUUGUAAGUCAGUGGUGAAAUCUCUGGGCUCAACCCAGAAACUGCCAUUGAUACUGCAGAUCUAGAGUACAGUUGCCGUUGGCGGAAUAUGACAUGUAGUGGUGAAAUACUUAGAUAUGUCAUAGAACACCGAUUGCGAAGGCAGCUAACGAAACUGUAACUGACGCUGAGGCUCGAAAGUGCGGGGAGCGAUCCGG